UACGUAGGGUGCAAGCGUUAUUCGGAAUUACUGGGCGUAAAGCGUGCGCAGGCGGCUUUGCAAGUCAGAUGUGAAAUCCCCGGGCUUAACCUGGGAACUGCAUUUGUGACUGCAUGGCUGGAGUGCGGCAGAGGGGGAUGGAAUUCCGCGUGUAGCAGUGAAAUGCGUAGAUAUGCGGAGGAACACCGAUGGCGAAGGCAGUCCCCUGGGCCUGCACUGACGCUCAUGCACGAAAGCGUGGGGAGCAAACAGG
This 253-nucleotide ribosomal RNA is filed under the name uncultured bacterium. RNAcentral's name for it is "partial 16S ribosomal RNA". It matches the Rfam family "Bacterial small subunit ribosomal RNA", at positions 524 to 776 of the family's 1533-position model. The record is from RNAcentral.